This 506-nucleotide ribosomal RNA is filed under the name uncultured bacterium. RNAcentral's name for it is "bacterial SSU rRNA". It matches the Rfam family "Bacterial small subunit ribosomal RNA", at positions 8 to 507 of the family's 1533-position model. The record is from RNAcentral.
AGAGUUUGAUCAUGGCUCAGAUUGAACGCUAGCGGGAUGCCUUACACAUGCAAGUCGAACGGCAGCGCGGACUUCGGUCGUGGCGGCGAGUGGACGAACGGGUGAGUAAUGAUCGGAACGUGCCCAGUAGCGGGGGACAACCACUCGAAAGAGUGGCUAAUACCGCAUACGCCCUACGGGGGAAAGGGGGGGAUCGCAAGACCUCUCACUAUUGGGAGCGGCCGAUAUCGGAUUAGCUAGUUGGUGGGGUAAAGGCCUACCAAGGCGACGAUCCGUAGCUGGUUUGAGAGGACGACCAGCCACACUGGGACUGAGACACGGCCCAGACUCCUACGGGAGGCAGCAGUGGGGAAUUUUGGACAAUGGGGGAAACCCUGAUCCAGCCAUUCCGCGUGUGCGAUGAAGGCCUUCGGGUUGUAAAGCACUUUUGGCAGGAAAGAAAUCGUGUGGGUUAAUACCCUGCGCGGAUGACGGUACCUGCAGAAUAAGCACCGGCUAACUACGUG